RNAcentral lists this transfer RNA (73 nucleotides) under Phycisphaeraceae bacterium. RNAcentral's name for it is "tRNA-Ala". It matches the Rfam family "tRNA". From Rfam's summary of the family: Transfer RNA (tRNA) molecules are approximately 80 nucleotides in length. Their secondary structure includes four short double-helical elements and three loops (D, anti-codon, and T loops). The record is from RNAcentral. Lineage: Bacteria; Pseudomonadati; Planctomycetota; Phycisphaerae; Phycisphaerales; Phycisphaeraceae.
GGGGGCGUAGCUCAGUUGGUAGAGCGCUUCCAUGGCAUGGAAGAGGUCGAGAGUUCGAGUCUCUUCGCCUCCA